RNAcentral lists this ribosomal RNA (486 nucleotides) under uncultured bacterium. Its description in RNAcentral is "partial 16S ribosomal RNA". It matches the Rfam family "Bacterial small subunit ribosomal RNA", at positions 30 to 507 of the family's 1533-position model. The record is from RNAcentral.
AUUGAACGCUGGCGGCAUGCCUUACACAUGCAAGUCGAACGGCAGCACGGGUGCUUGCACCUGGUGGCGAGUGGCGAACGGGUGAGUAAUACAUCGGAACAUGUCCUGUAGUGGGGGAUAGCCCGGCGAAAGCCGGAUUAAUACCGCAUACGAUCUACGGAUGAAAGCGGGGGACCUUCGGGCCUCGCGCUAUAGGGUUGGCCGAUAGCUGAUUAGCUAGUUGGUGGGGUAAAGGCCUACCAAGGCGACGAUCAGUAGCUGGUCUGAGAGGACGACCAGCAACACUGGGAAUGAGACACGGCCCAGACUCCUACGGGAGGCAGCAGUGGGGAAUUUUGGACAAUGGGCGAAAGCCUGAUCCAGCAAUGCCGCGUGUGUGAAGAAGGCCUUCGGGUUGUAAAGCACUUUUGUCCGGAAAGAAAUCCUUGGCUCUAAUACAGUCGGGGGAUGACGGUACCGGAAGAAUAAGCACCGGCUAACUACGUG